AUUGAACGCUGGCGGCAUGCUUUACACAUGCAAGUCGAACGGCAGCGCGGGCUUCGGCCUGGCGGCGAGUGGCGAACGGGUGAGUAAUGCAUCGGAACGUGCCCAGUAGUGGGGGCUAGCCCGGCGAAAGCCGGAUUAAUACCGCAUACGACCUGAGGGUGAAAGCGGGGGACCGAAAGGCCUCGCGCUAUUUGCGCUGCCGAUGUCGGAUUAGCUAGUUGGUGGGGUAAAGGCUUACCAAGGCGACGAUCCGUAGCUGGUCUGAGAGGACGACCAGCCACACUGGGACUGAGACACGGCCCAGACUCCUACGGGAGGCAGCAGUGGGGAAUUUUGGACAAUGGGGGCAAGCCUGAUCCAGCCAUGCCGCGUGCGGGAAGAAGGCCUUCGGGUUGUAAACCGCUUUUGUUCGGGAAGAAAUCCUCUGGGCUAAUACCCCGGGGGGAUGACGGUACCGGAAGAAUAAGCACCGGCUAACUACGUG
RNAcentral lists this ribosomal RNA (484 nucleotides) under uncultured bacterium. RNAcentral's name for it is "partial 16S ribosomal RNA". It matches the Rfam family "Bacterial small subunit ribosomal RNA", at positions 28 to 507 of the family's 1533-position model. The record is from RNAcentral.